GUUUGAUCCUGGCUCAGGAUGAACGCUGGCGGCGUGCUUAACACAUGCAAGUCGAACGAUGAUCCCAGCUUGCUGGGGGAUUAGUGGCGAACGGGUGAGUAACACGUGAGUAACCUGCCCUUGACUCUGGGAUAAGCCUGGGAAACUGGGUCUAAUACCGGAUACGACCAUCUGGCGCAUGUCAUGGUGGUGGAAAGCUUUUGUGGUUUUGGAUGGACUCGCGGCCUAUCAGCUUGUUGGUGGGGUAAUGGCCUACCAAGGCGACGACGGGUAGCCGGCCUGAGAGGGUGACCGGCCACACUGGGACUGAGACACGGCCCAGACUCCUACGGGAGGCAGCAGUGGGGAAUAUUGCACAAUGGGCGAAAGCCUGAUGCAGCGACGCCGCGUGAGGGAUGACGGCCUUCGGGUUGUAAACCUCUUUCAGUAGGGAAGAAGCGAAAGUGACGGUACCUGCAGAAGAAGCGCCGGCUAACUACGUGCCAGCAGCCGCGGUAAUACGUAGGGCGCAAGCGUUAUCCGGAAUUAUUGGGCGUAAAGAGCUCGUAGGCGGUUUGUCGCGUCUGCUGUGAAAGACCGGGGCUCAACUCCGGUUCUGCAGUGGGUACGGGCAGACUAGAGUGCAGUAGGGGAGACUGGAAUUCCUGGUGUAGCGGUGAAAUGCGCAGAUAUCAGGAGGAACACCGAUGGCGAAGGCAGGUCUCUGGGCUGUAACUGACGCUGAGGAGCGAAAGCAUGGGGAGCGAACAGGAUUAGAUACCCUGGUAGUCCAUGCCGU
Molecule: ribosomal RNA, 778 nt
Filed under: uncultured bacterium
Lineage: Bacteria
Description: bacterial SSU rRNA
Rfam family: Bacterial small subunit ribosomal RNA
Source: RNAcentral